This 492-nucleotide ribosomal RNA is filed under the name uncultured bacterium. RNAcentral's name for it is "partial 16S ribosomal RNA". It matches the Rfam family "Bacterial small subunit ribosomal RNA", at positions 29 to 507 of the family's 1533-position model. The record is from RNAcentral.
AGUGAACGCUGGCGGUAGGCCUAACACAUGCAAGUCGAACGGCAGCACAGUAAGAGCUUGCGCUUACGGGUGGCGAGUGGCGGACGGGUGAGGAAUACAUCGGAAUCUACUUUUUCGUGGGGGAUAACGUAGGGAAACUUACGCUAAUACCGUAUACGACCUACGGGUGAAAGCAGGGGAUCUUCGGACCUUGCGCGAUUGAAUGAGCCGAUGUCGGAUUAGCGAGUUGGCGGGGUAAAGGCCCACCAAGGCGACGAUCCGUAGCUGGUCUGAGAGGAUGAUCAGCCACACUGGAACUGAGACACGGUCCAGACUCCUACGGGAGGCAGCAGUGGGGAAUAUUGGACAAUGGGCGCAAGCCUGAUCCAGCCAUACCGCGUGGGUGAAGAAGGCCUUCGGGUUGUAAAGCCCUUUUGUUGGGAAAGAAAAGCAGCAGGUUAAUACCCCGCUGUUCUGACGGUACCCAAAGAAUAAGCACCGGCUAACUUCGUG